AAAUCCGGGAGAGAUCUCGCCGGAACAUAUUUUCGGGCCGGGACGCCGAAGGGGCAGGAAAAACUCUCAGGCAAAAGGAUCGGA
Molecule: non-coding RNA, 84 nt
Filed under: bovine gut metagenome
Description: Glycine riboswitch
Rfam family: Glycine riboswitch aptamer
About the family: This family represents the bacterial glycine riboswitch. Glycine riboswitches usually consist of two metabolite-binding aptamers domains with similar structures in tandem.
Source: RNAcentral